UUGUUUCAUAUGCUUUGCACAGGUCUGUAGCUACACACGCUGAAGCUCCAAGGUUAUACACAGACUUGCAAACUCAAGGUUAGUCACCUCUGUGAUAUACAUCUUUGUGAAGCUGUGAUUCACUGUUCCUAGUAUUAGUUUUUGUACAUUUAUUACAAUGUGGUCAUGUGGAGCAUAACCUAUGGUCUGUUCUACAUUCAGGUUCAGCCUACAGGCCAGUAUCCACAUCUCUUGCUGAAGCUACAAGGUCACGCACAAAUCCACAUGGGCUCAGUGUGUAAUUCAUAUGCAAUGUUAUGUUCUUUAUGCAGGUGGAGUUUAAUCCAUGGUGUUUUUGUUUUAGCUGCUUUGCACAGGUCGGAAGCUGCUGGCUCAUUCACGGAAUUGCAAACUCGUGGUAUGUCAUUUAUGGGAUAUGCAUCAUUAUGUUGCUGUCUUUCAUUGUUUCCACUUUUUUAUUUUUUGUACAUUUAUUAGCUAUGGUCAAAUGCCUGUGGUCUGUUUUAUGUGCAGGCUCGUUAUACACACCAGUAUCAACACCCCUUGCUGGAGCUAAAAGGCCACACACGGAACCACAUGUGCUUGGUGGUUUAUGCAGGCCUGCUUCGACACAUGCUGAAGUUACCAGCUUCACAGAGUUGCAACCUCUUGAUUCAUCGUACAGGCCGGUAUCCUCAUAUCCGACUGGAGCUACAAGGUCACACGCAGAUCCACAAGUGCU
RNAcentral lists this long non-coding RNA (721 nucleotides) under Dermacentor andersoni. Its description in RNAcentral is "uncharacterized LOC126540156". The record is from RNAcentral. Lineage: Eukaryota; Metazoa; Arthropoda; Arachnida; Ixodida; Ixodidae.